AACGAACGCUGGCGGCGUGCCUAACACAUGCAAGUCGAACGGGAUUAGGGGCUUGCUCCUAAUCUAGUGGCGCAUGGGUGAGUAACGCGUAGAGAAUAUGCCUGAUGAUCCGGGAUAACACUUCGAAAGAGGUGCAAAUACCGGAUAAGCCCACGGGUUCUUUGGCAGCUGCUGGAAAAGGGGUGAACCUGCGGGCCUUCGGUCAUCAGAUGAUGCUGCGUACCAUCGGCUAGUUGGGAGGGUAAAGGUCUACCAAGGCGACGAUGAUUAGCUGGGUUGAGAGGAUGAGCAGCGACACUGGAACUGAGACACGGUCCAGACUCCUACGGGAGGCAGCAGUGGGGAAUUUUGCGCAAUGGGCGAAAGCCUGACGGAGCAACGCCGCGUGAGUGAUGAAGGCUUUCGGGUCGUAAAGCUCUGUCAAUGGGAAAGAAGUGUACGAGGGCUAAUAUCCUUUGUACUUGACGGUACCCAUAAAGGAAGCACCGGCUAACUCCGUGCCAGCCGCCGCAGUAA
Molecule: ribosomal RNA, 516 nt
Filed under: uncultured bacterium
Lineage: Bacteria
Description: partial 16S ribosomal RNA
Rfam family: Bacterial small subunit ribosomal RNA
Source: RNAcentral